AAAAACAAUCAAUGUUCUGCCACGGAAAAAGAAGAUGCUAAGGAAAAACACCAGAGUCCUGAGACAGAAGCUACUUCCGCUCACCGAGCCCGGAAAAACCAGGGGGGAGGGAGAAGAUGAUUAAGGUAGACGAGGUCGGUCCGCCAGUGUCCCACAAUCCUCUUCUCUCGCUUUCUCUUUCCCCGCUCAAGAUGGCGCUGCUCGCGAUACAUUCUUGGCGUUGGGAAGCCGCGGCGGCUGCUUUCGAAAAGCGCCGGCGCUCGGCGAUUCUGCUCGGGCCUCUAGUCUCUGUCCGUGGCUUAGGUCCGCAGUGGAGGUCACAUCAGCUCGGUGCUUUGGGAACCGCUCGAAUCUACCAGCAGAUCCCAGCAGAU
Tupaia belangeri chinensis (Chinese tree shrew) is the source of this 374-nucleotide long non-coding RNA. RefSeq lists it as uncharacterized. The record is from RefSeq and is a predicted model, not a curated record. The transcript has 3 exons. Lineage: Eukaryota; Metazoa; Chordata; Mammalia; Scandentia; Tupaiidae.